CACAAACUCGUGUCUUCCUUUUCUUUUAUAGGAAUGACGUAAGGGAGACCUUCUUUAGAAAGUAUUGAAGGAAUCGAGACCCAGAAUCAUCCGACCAAGGCCGAAUUAACAAACUCUUUUAUGCUAUCCAAAGAUUGACCGCAGUCAUAGGACAUAACCAAGCCAACCCUUGUCAACAUCCUACCCCCAAAUACCAAAUAGUUAAAAGGUUUAUCUCUCAUAAUA
This 225-nucleotide long non-coding RNA is filed under the name Carica papaya (papaya). Its description in RNAcentral is "long non-coding RNA (CPAP_LNC001456)". The record is from RNAcentral. Lineage: Eukaryota; Viridiplantae; Streptophyta; Magnoliopsida; Brassicales; Caricaceae.